RNAcentral lists this ribosomal RNA (564 nucleotides) under uncultured Glomeromycotina. Its description in RNAcentral is "SSU rRNA". It matches the Rfam family "Eukaryotic small subunit ribosomal RNA", at positions 550 to 1125 of the family's 1831-position model. The record is from RNAcentral. Lineage: Eukaryota; Fungi; Glomeromycota.
UUGGAGGGCAAGUCUGGUGCCAGCAGCCGCGGUAAUUCCAGCUCCAAUAGCGUAUAUUAAAGUUGUUGCAGUUAAAAAGCUCGUAGUUGAAUUUCGAGAUCAAUUUGUCGGUCGUGCCUCGGUAUGUACUGGCAUUAUUGAUUUCUCCCUUCUGAAGAACAGCGAUGUCAUUAAUUUGGUGUCGUGGGGAAUCAGGACUGUUACUUUGAAAAAAUUAGAGUGUUUAAAGCAGGCGCACGCUUGAAUACAUUAGCAUGGAAUAAUGAAAUAGGACGUUUGGUUCUAUUUUGUAGGUUUCUAGGAUCGACGUAACGAUUAAUAGGGAUAGUUGGGGGCAUUAGUAUUCAAUUGUCAGAGGUGAAAUUCUUGGAUUUAUUGAAGACUAACUACUGCGAAAGCAUUUGCCAAGGAUGUUUUCAUUAAUCAAGAACGAAAGUUAGGGGAUCGAAGACGAUCAGAUACCGUCGUAGUCUUAACCAUAAACUAUGCCGACUAGGGAUCGGAUGAUGUUAAUUUUUUAAUGACUCAUUCGGCGCCUUACGGGAAACCWAAGUGUUUGGGUUC